CCUACGGGUGGCAGCAGUGAGGAAUAUUGGUCAAUGGGCGCGAGCCUGAACCAGCCAAGUCGCGUGAGGGAAGACGGUCCUAUGGAUUGUAAACCUCUUUUGUCGGGGAGCAAAAGACGCCACGCGUGGCGUUCCGAGAGUACCCGAAGAAAAAGCAUCGGCUAACUCCGUGCCAGCAGCCGCGGUAAUACGGAGGAUGCGAGCGUUAUCCGGAUUUAUUGGGUUUAAAGGGUGCGCAGGCGGAAGAUCAAGUCAGCGGUAAAAUUGAGAGGCUCAACCCCUUUGAGCCGUUGAAACUGGGUGUCUUGAGUGAGUGAGAAGUAGGCGGAAUGCGUGGUGUAGCGGUGAAAUGCAUAGAUAUCACGCAGAACUCCGAUUGCGAAGGCAGCAUACCGGCGCUCAACUGACGCUCAUGCACGAAAGUGUGGGUAUCGAACAGGAUUAGAUACCCCAGUAGUC
RNAcentral lists this ribosomal RNA (459 nucleotides) under uncultured bacterium. Its description in RNAcentral is "partial 16S ribosomal RNA". It matches the Rfam family "Bacterial small subunit ribosomal RNA", at positions 338 to 795 of the family's 1533-position model. The record is from RNAcentral.